CCUACGGGAGGCAGCAGUGGGGAAUAUUGCACAAUGGAGGAAACUCUGAUGCAGCGACGCCGCGUGAAUGAAGAAGUAAUUCGUUUCGUAAAGCUCUGUCAGCGGGGAUGAAAACCAGAACUUAAGCUCAACAGAAGGUACCGGAGUAAUAAGCCCCAGCUGACUACGUGCCACCAGGCGGGGUAAUACGUAGGGGGCAAGCGUUAUCCGGAUUUACUGGGGGUAAAGGGGGCGUAGACGGUGCGGCAAGUCUGGAGUGAAAUGCCGCAGCCUAACUGCGGAACUGCCUUGGAAACUGGCGAACUAGAGUGCGGGAGGGGUAAGCGGAAUUCCUAGUGUAGCGGUGAAAUGCGUAGAUAUUAGGAGGAACAUCGGUGGCGAAGGCGACUUACUGGACCGUAACUGACGUUGAGGCUCGAAAGCGUGGGGAGCAAACAGGAUUAGAUACCCUUGUAGUC
Molecule: ribosomal RNA, 458 nt
Filed under: uncultured bacterium
Lineage: Bacteria
Description: partial 16S ribosomal RNA
Rfam family: Bacterial small subunit ribosomal RNA
Source: RNAcentral